UACGGAGGGGGCUAGCGUUGUUCGGAAUUACUGGGCGUAAAGCGCGCGUAGGCGGAUUUAUAAGUCGGGGGUGAAAUCCCGGGGCUCAACCUCGGAACUGCCUUCGAUACUGCAAAUCUCGAGUCCGGAAGAGGUGAGUGGAAUUCCUAGUGUAGCGGUGAAAUUCGUAGAUAUUAGGAAGAACACCAGUGGCGAAGGCGGCUCACUGGUCCGGAACUGACGCUGAGGCUCGAAAGCGUGGGGAGCAAACAGG
This 253-nucleotide ribosomal RNA is filed under the name uncultured bacterium. Its description in RNAcentral is "partial 16S ribosomal RNA". It matches the Rfam family "Bacterial small subunit ribosomal RNA", at positions 524 to 776 of the family's 1533-position model. The record is from RNAcentral.